GGUUUUUAGUGAUCUCUUUAAAAAGAGGUACGUUGUUGUUCAUUAAUAUUGUUUUUUUAAAGAUAGAUUUUGGUUUUUAGUGAUCUCUUUACAAAUAGGUACGUUGUUGGUCAUUAGUUUUUAACUUUUACUUUGGUAUUUAUUUAUACCUAUUAAUAGGUCUUUCUUGUCUAUGUUUUUUUAACAUGUAUUUUGGUUUUCAGUGAUCUCUUUUAAAAAGAGGUACGUUGUUGGUCAUUAAUAUUUAACUUUUUCUUGGUGUUUAUUUAAACCUAUUAAUAGGUCUUUCUUGUCUCUGUUUUUUUAAACAUGUAUUUUGGUUUUAGUGAUCUCUUUAAAAAGAGGUACGUUGUUGUUCAUUAAUAUUGUUUUUUUUAAAGAUAGAUUUUGGUUUUUAGUGAUCUCUUUACAAAUAGGUACGUUGUUGGUCAUUAGUUUUUUAACUUUUACUUUGGUAUUUAUUUAUACCUAUUAAUAGGUCUUUCUUGUCUAUGUUUUUUUAACAUGUAUUUUGGUUUUCAGUGAUCUCUUUAAAAAGAGGUACGUUAUUGGUCUUUAAUAUUUAACUUUUUCCUUGGUGUUUAUUUAAACCUAUUAAUAGGUCUUUCUUGUCUCUGUUUUUUUAAACAUGUAUUUUGGUUUUUAGUGAUCUCUUUAAAAAGGGUACGUUGUUG
RNAcentral lists this long non-coding RNA (674 nucleotides) under Mytilus galloprovincialis (Mediterranean mussel). Lineage: Eukaryota; Metazoa; Mollusca; Bivalvia; Mytilida; Mytilidae. The record is from RNAcentral.